GAUAUCUUGAGUGUUCCAAUUUCUACAGUUGCUUCUGAAUCGGCUUUUAGCACCGGUGGUAGGAUACUUGACCAAUAUCGCAGUGCAAUGAAGCCUGAUGUUGUUGAGGCAUUAGUUUGUUGUAGAGAUUGGUUAGCUGGAGGGAAAGAAACUACUGAGGUGGGGUUGAAUGAUUUGACUGAAAAUAUUAUGAAUUUAUUCACAAAUGAGGAUACUGGAUCAAAACCUACUGCAACACAUGAUUGAUGAUUCUAAUGAAAAGUUUGACUCGGUACAAAGGAGGAGUAAAGCAAUGGAGAAGUGGAGCUUGAAACUGAAAGUUAUUUUGUGAAGCUUGAAAACUUUUUUAUUUUGUAUUGAUAUCAUAAAUUUUCUUGUAUAGACUCUGGACUCUAUAGGAUCUUUUACUUGUAUAGACAAUAUAGUUGUAUUAACCUUUAAUCCUUUUGGAUUGCCUUAAAAGUUAA
Zingiber officinale is the source of this 467-nucleotide long non-coding RNA. RefSeq lists it as uncharacterized. Lineage: Eukaryota; Viridiplantae; Streptophyta; Magnoliopsida; Zingiberales; Zingiberaceae. The record is from RefSeq and is a predicted model, not a curated record. The transcript has 3 exons.